This 504-nucleotide ribosomal RNA is filed under the name uncultured bacterium. Its description in RNAcentral is "partial 16S ribosomal RNA". It matches the Rfam family "Bacterial small subunit ribosomal RNA", at positions 28 to 507 of the family's 1533-position model. The record is from RNAcentral.
GACGAACGCUGGCGGCGUGCCUAAUACAUGCAAGUCGAACGCACAGUUUAUACCGUUGCUUGCUGCACCAUAAACUGUGAGUUGCGAACGUGUGAGUAACACGAAGGUAACCUUCCUGGUAGCGGGGGAUAACUAAUGAAAACGAUAGCUAAAACACCGUAAUACUGAUUAUUGCAUGAUAUUUGAUUUAAUUAUGCUAUUGCUUCGCUACCAGAUUGACCUGCGUUGUAUUAGCUAGUAGGUGAGGUAACGGCUCACCUAGGCGACGAUACAUAGCCGACCUGAGAGGGUGAUCGACCACACUGGGACUGAGACACGGCCCAGACUCCUACGGGAGGCAGCAGUAGGGAAUCUUCCGCAAUGGGCGAAAGUCUGACGGAGCAACGCCGCGUGAGUGAAGAAGGUUUUCGGAUCGUAAAGCUCUGUUGUAAGGGAAGAACGGGUGUGAGAGUAGAAAGCACGUACGGUAACGUAACCUUACAAAAAAGGACGGCUAAAUUCGUG